AUUGAACGCUGGCGGCAUGCCUUACACAUGCAAGUCGAACGGCAGCACGGGAGCAAUCCUGGUGGCGAGUGGCGAACGGGUGAGUAAAGUAUCGGAACGUGCCCAGUCGUGGGGGAUAACGUAGCGAAAGUUACGCUAAUACCGCAUACGAUCUAUGGAUGAAAGCGGGGGAUCGCAAGACCUCGCGCGAUCGGAGCGGCCGAUAUCAGAUUAGGUAGUUGGGGGGGUAAAGGCUCACCAAGCCGACGAUCUGUAGCUGGUCUGAGAGGACGACCAGCCACACUGGGACUGAGACACGGCCCAGACUCCUACGGGAGGCAGCAGUGGGGAAUUCUGGACAAUGGGCGAAAGCCUGAUCCAGCCAUGCCGCGUGCAGGAUGAAGGCCUUCGGGUUGUAACUGCUUUUGUACGGAACGAAAAGGUUCGGGCUAAUAAGCCGAGCUCAUGACGGUACCGUAAGAAUAAGCACCGGCUAACUACGUGCCAGCCGCCGCGGUAA
RNAcentral lists this ribosomal RNA (499 nucleotides) under uncultured bacterium. RNAcentral's name for it is "partial 16S ribosomal RNA". It matches the Rfam family "Bacterial small subunit ribosomal RNA", at positions 29 to 523 of the family's 1533-position model. The record is from RNAcentral.